Pediococcus claussenii ATCC BAA-344 is the source of this 76-nucleotide non-coding RNA. The record is from Rfam. Lineage: Bacteria; Bacillati; Bacillota; Bacilli; Lactobacillales; Lactobacillaceae.
UCUGUCAACGGUAAAUCGACGUAGAACGGCUUUUAGCCGUUCUAGGAGGCUUUAAGGAGUUGAUAGACUCACUAGA